UUCAUUUCUAUUGAAAGCACACCUCUUCUA
Molecule: non-coding RNA, 30 nt
Filed under: Rattus norvegicus (Norway rat)
Lineage: Eukaryota; Metazoa; Chordata; Mammalia; Rodentia; Muridae
Source: RNAcentral